Triplophysa rosa is the source of this 547-nucleotide long non-coding RNA. RefSeq lists it as uncharacterized. The transcript has 3 exons. The record is from RefSeq and is a predicted model, not a curated record. NCBI's taxonomy places the organism in Eukaryota, Metazoa, Chordata, Actinopteri, Cypriniformes, Nemacheilidae.
GGUGAGACAGAGAGCUUCUCCGGGCGGAUGGAUGUGCAGGAAGCGCUCCCUUUUCUUUACGCUGCGCCGUAUCGCUGUAUGCUAUAAAUCUACAGAAAAAAAAUAAAACACGGCGAUGACUAAAAGACCAAUUACUUAUACAGGGCUAUUGUCUUUAUUCGUGUUGAUUAUACGAUGAGGUUUAUUUCCAUGCACUGCUCGCAGACUGGAGGCGAGUGAUUGUCCGUGAGGAGGAGGAUCCACCGGACAUCCGAUAAGGAACUACGAGCUUCAUUCAACGGUGACGCACAUGGAACUUGAAGGCUGUUUUCCAGCAUGACUGCUGUCAGACAAAGGAAGGGCAGCAAAGGGAAGGACCCUGGCCCCAGCAUUCAGAACCUAAAGCCAGAAUGUAUAGCUGAAUCAAAAGAGAGGCUUAAAACAGGUGGUUUCUCAUGGUGGACAAUAUUGUGUCUAAUCAUUGGCUCAAUAGUGGGAGUUAGCCUGGGCUUACUGUGCUGCAUCUAUGUGGCUACGCUUCAUGACAAUGACCUGUGGUUCUCCAAUA